RNAcentral lists this ribosomal RNA (152 nucleotides) under uncultured bacterium. Its description in RNAcentral is "partial 16S ribosomal RNA". It matches the Rfam family "Bacterial small subunit ribosomal RNA", at positions 338 to 507 of the family's 1533-position model. The record is from RNAcentral.
CCUACGGGAGGCAGCAGUGGGGAAUAUUGCGCAAUGGGGGAAACCCUGACGCAGCAACGCCGCGUGAGUGAUGAAGGCCUUCGGGUUGUAAAGCUCUGUCUUUGGGGACGAUAAUGACGGUACCCAAGGAGGAAGCCACGGCUAACUACGUG